GCCUAACACAUGCAAGUCGAGCGGUAGAGAGAAGCUUGCUUCUCUUGAGAGCGGCGGACGGGUGAGUAAUGCCUAGGAAUCUGCCUGGUAGUGGGGGAUAACGUUCGGAAACGGACGCUAAUACCGCAUACGUCCUACGGGAGAAAGCAGGGGACCUUCGGGCCUUGCGCUAUCAGAUGAGCCUAGGUCGGAUUAGCUAGUUGGUGAGGUAAUGGCUCACCAAGGCGACGAUCCGUAACUGGUCUGAGAGGAUGAUCAGUCACACUGGAACUGAGACACGGUCCAGACUCCUACGGGAGGCAGCAGUGGGGAAUAUUGGACAAUGGGCGAAAGCCUGAUCCAGCCAUGCCGCGUGUGUGAAGAAGGUCUUCGGAUUGUAAAGCACUUUAAGUUGGGAGGAAGGGUUGUAGAUUAAUACUCUGCAAUUUUGACGUUACCGACAGAAUAAGCACCGGCUAACUCUGUGCCAGCAGCCGCGGUAAUACAGAGGGUGCAAGCGUUAAUCGGAAUUACUGGGCGUAAAGCGCGCGUAGGUGGUUUGUUAAGUUGGAUGUGAAAUCCCCGGGCUCAACCUGGGAACUGCAUUCAAAACUGACUGACUAGAGUAUGGUAGAGGGUGGUGGAAUUUCCUGUGUAGCGGUGAAAUGCGUAGAUAUAGGAAGGAACACCAGUGGCGAAGGCGACCACCUGGACUAAUACUGACACUGAGGUGCGAAAGCG
Molecule: ribosomal RNA, 720 nt
Filed under: uncultured bacterium
Lineage: Bacteria
Description: bacterial SSU rRNA
Rfam family: Bacterial small subunit ribosomal RNA
Source: RNAcentral